GGGGAUUUGGCUCAGUGGUAGAGUACUUGCCUAGCAAGCGCAAGGCCCUGGGUUCGGUCCCCAGCUCCA
This is a non-coding RNA of Rattus norvegicus (Norway rat), 69 nucleotides long. The record is from Rfam. Lineage: Eukaryota; Metazoa; Chordata; Mammalia; Rodentia; Muridae.